Molecule: non-coding RNA, 1017 nt
Organism: Triticum urartu
Lineage: Eukaryota; Viridiplantae; Streptophyta; Magnoliopsida; Poales; Poaceae
Source: RefSeq, a predicted model, not a curated record
GCACAGGCAUACCAACUUUGAGAGAUUAAGGAUCAUGGGUAUGUGUGGAGCCCAUGUAGUCAGCUGCCCAAGGAGAGACAUCCCCAGUUCACUGAAAGAGUUGUGGCAACAAGGAGUUCAAACAGCAAUACAGAAAGUAAAUGGAAGCCAAUCUAAAGCCAUAUUAUCGACUAAUUCAAACCAAGGUGUUCAUCCUGAUUUUUACGCUUUUUAUCCAAGCCUGAAACCAUCAUGGGCAGGAGAGAUGAAUCUGUCAGGAACUUUGAGAAGGUUUGGUUCGUGCUUAUCUAGCACUUCUCGGGCUGUGUGCAUCAAUUGACGCAGAGGCUGAGGGUACAACCUCCUUUUCGGAAAAAAUCUAACACUUUUGCAUUAUUCCCUACUGCACACGAAGCAAUGGAGAUUAUGGACCAGUCUGCAAUGGAUCUCAAAUUUGUUGACAUCUCGGUGAUGUGCAAGGCAAGGAAGCUGUAUGAAUCUGCCAUUUGUCUUGAACCUGAAAUUCUCAGAGCUGCAUUGCCAUUGCGUGAUUUGCGUGUUGGUGAAUGCCCGAUCAAUGAUGCAAUUUUGCUACUUGAAAGAUAUCAGCACAAUGGCCAAAUGAUUCUCAACGCAAUGUGCUUCCCCCUUUGGUGCUUUGUAUAACUAGAUACUUCGUGAAGAGUCAAUAGAAAGGCUUCCAUUUCCCCCCCCCCCCCCCCCCAAAAAAAACUUUCCCACUCAAUCUCCCCAAAGGUUACGAAAUAACUGAAGACCAGAACGUGGACAUGUAGUUGCUGAAAGGAUGCUGGGGCAAGGAAAGUACAAAAUUUUCUCGGUUUAUGCAAAUGCUAGUUUACCUUGGAUCGUGCAUAUAAUUUAUUUGGUCACAUUCUAGCCCUCACAGUUUUUUUUUUGAGAAAAUGCAAAAGGCUUGCGUUUCUUUGUAUUGAAAAGAAAGAGAGUUCGUUACAGCCUCCUAGGAGGAAUCAUUAUAGGCAUGAAUCAGUGUACGUCCCAGGUUUGAGGGAGAAUGGC